AGCCUAGAAACGGAAACAGCUUUAGUGUCCACCCACCAAUGAAUGGAUAUGGAAAAAUGUGGUAUGUGUACGUAACGAAUGUUACUCAGCCAUAAAUAGAUGAAAACUUCAUCUGCAACAACGUGGAUGGAACUGGAAGGCAUCAUGUUAACAGAAAUAAUCCAAGAGCAGUAAGAUAAAUAUCAUGUUAUCUCACUCGUAUGUGAAGUUUAAAAAUCAGUGAUCUCAGAGGUAAAUAAUAUAAUAAUGCUGGUAAGAAGCCAGGAAGGGGUGUAGCAUCAUACCGGAGCAUUUUAUGUUGCUUGUAGACAUCACUGCAUCCAUCCCAAAGGAUGCUGUUUCCCGGCAGCCGGGACUGGCGAGUGGCUGUGUUCUAGUCAACGAGGCUUCGUUUAUGGAAGUUCAACAGAAGAGGCUGAAAAGAACUUCCUUGUGAUGGCAGAACUUCUUCCUUUUUCCUGCUUUAAUGAACGAGACGACAUGUGUGGACUCCAGAAACUGCGGCCCACUAAUGCCACGGACAUCACAACAGAAAUGCAGGCAGCAUCUGAGACCCUUCACGUGCAGCAGCUCGUCAGCCCUCGAACGCCUGUCUUUGGACCUCGUGUAUGGAUCCCUCCUAAUGAGCCUGGAAGGCAGCAGAAGAUGGUCCAAGUACUGAGGCCCCUGCCAUCCACGUGGGAAACCCAGAUGGAGCUCCAGGCUCUCGGCUUCAGCUUGGUGCAGAUUACAGGUUUGCGGGUGUUGUGUCCAUCAAGACUUGAAGGAGCAGCAAUGAUGAUAUCGUAAGCCUACUGUGUUGCUCCGGCAGCAAGGAUUGCACCUGCUCAGCCGGAUGUGCAGGAAGACAGGAGUGUGCCUGGUGAUGUCCGCAGCACCGUCCUAAUUUCACAUCCAAAUGAAGCAAUCACGGACCUGCUCAGGACAAAGCAGGGAGUGAGGCAGAGAUGAGGCUAAUGAGAGACUGGCAGGGAACAGGCUGGGAGGCUGGAUCAGGCUUGUUAAGCAUGGCUCACAUCCAUGAAAAAAGCAACCUUCCUGGAGUUCUAAAGCGAAAGCUAUCUUUGUAAGCUCUAGCUCUCAUCAGGAAGAACUACGUGAGCCAAGCGCUCAUAUAUCAUGUACAGAGAGGAGUUCAUUUUUUGUAGGCUAAAAUUUUAAUGAUGAGAUAUAAAUAGGACUUUGAAAUGCUUCAGCAAUCCUCUUGAAUUUUACCUGGAAUUUUCAGUUUUAUAAUGCCUAAUGCCUUCACUUUUAUUUUCUCCUCUCAAAUUGUUCCACUUAAUGUCAUUAUCCAAUGGAAAAGUAAAAAUUCUUAUGAAAAUAGGUAAAAUAUAGAGUAAUCCUAUUUGUAAUUUAUUAUAUUCCAAUUGAAAAUGUAAGUUUGUUACUUCUUUCAGUUUUCAUUUCAGUUUCCAUGUAUAAUUUAUGCUUUAACAUUCAGAUCUUAAAUUAAAAUCUAUGUUUCAUUAGUUGUAGCUAUCACAUUUAUUAUAGUUUUUUGUGUUUCUCAUAACAUGUAAUAUGGAAGUCUUUAUUUGUCGAAAUCUUUUUAAUUUCAUGCUCUAUUCUUCAAAUUUCUAUCUAAAGAAUGCAUAAAUCAAUAAGCAAAUAUGUAAUUGAAUUCUUUGAUAUGCCCAGCUCAUCAUCAUUUAUAAAUACCAGUACAGAGCCACCCCCAUUAAGAUGAAUGGGUUGGUAGAAUGCUCAUAAUUAGGGCAUUUGUGGUCUUCAAAAUUAAAAUCAGGUAGACUGUGUAUUGCUCUGUUUUUCUAGAUAUGAUUUAUUAUUUGAACUUUAAAUGUCCAUCAAUCCCAGUGAAUAUACAGUGGUGACUAAAACAACUUCUUGCUCAUCCUCUUGGUUUGUAUAAAAUAGUAAAUAUUCACAAAUCAUAUUUCAAUAAGUUUUUACAUUAAUCUUACAAAGAAAUGAGAUGGGUUCUAUGUUAAAUAUUAUCUAUCUGUCUCUAUGCAUACUAAAUCAUCUUUGUAAAAUAUAUUGGGAAAAUUCUCAUGAACAAAAUAUUUCAUGCAAUACUACCAACUGCUAUUCUACAAAAUUCCAGGAAAGUGUGAAAGUUAAGAGAUUUUAUACUUCAGGGAAAUUAUAAAUACUCUUGAUAGGGGCAAUUGUACUCUCUUAAAUGUGAUCCAAAAUUAUUUAAGUAUAUUUUAUAACUUGCAUGUUUGACAUAGGUAAGAUUUCAAAUAAAAAGCCUUGAUUAUCAUCUCUAAGAAACACUCAAUAAUUAACAAGAUUCUAUAUUCAGUUAACAGAUCAAGUGUUUGCUAUAUUCUUCAUAAAUUAUCCAUAAAUUUUAUGAAAAUAUAUCUAUAAUAUAUACACUCACACUUACAUAAAAAUAUUCUGGCGAAUAAUUUUAUAUGAUACAGAUAUUUUUAUCUCUUCCCUCUACCUUGGUUCUCACACCUUUUGUACAUUAUUUGUUUCCUUUUGGGUCUCCCAUUGAUAGAUCAUUUUGGGACCUUCCUACAUGAAGUAGUUAGGGGAACAGUGUAUUCUAUCUGUUUCUACAAGUGCAUCUCUGAUUCCUAUUGCCAGCUGAGGGAUGGUUUCUGCAGGAGAAACAGACUAGUAAUGCCAAAAUAUCACUUCUAAUCCUAAUUAGCAGUUUUUGUCGAAAUAGGCAACCCAAGUUUGCAGCUCAGUUUUCUAAAUGUUCAAAGUGAAUUUUAUAACAAAAUCACCUCUUCCCUGCAGUUACAGUGAAUAUUGAAUUAAUAUAUUAGAUAUAAUUCUUUGAAAGUUACCCCCAAAAUCAAUCAUUUGUAUAAGCAUUAGCUGUCCCUAUAUAAUGUAUAUUAGCAGUUUUUAAAAAAUAUAUUCCAUCCAAGAAUAUUUUAGACACCAUCUAUUCUAAUAUCUUUCUAGUGGAACAUUUCUAAGAGGAGAGCAUGAUCGAUGACCAUGCUGUAUUUUCCCUCCAUUGAAUGAAUCUGUCAGAGUUCUGACAGCCUCUUGAGGAAGUAGCACUGAAUCUUCACUAUUUACUGAUACACACGGAUCUACGAGCAAGUUGCAUUAUGAGCCAAAAAUAUAUCCGAGCCAACUAUGAAUGUGAAAUACGCUGUUAACAGGUGUAACUAAACUUUGUCUUCUAAAACUGUUCUAUUCGCCCACUGGAAGUUUCCAUCAUUUUACAAAUAGCUCACAGUGCUUUUCUAAACUUCGGGAUUAGCAAACGUUUCUAUUGAGUGUGAAUAGUUAUAGAGACUACUCUGAGAAAUAAAGUGAUGCUCUGAGGAGGACGGCAGUGGAUGGAGACGUGGUGCACAAGCAGGCCGUGAACGCUUGCCUGCACAGACCACACACUACCCAUCAGGAACCGAAGAGAACGCGGCGGGAAAGCUCCCGAGACUCCAGCGGCACGUUAUGCUGAGCUGGGCGCUCCUGGUGCUGCUCUGUCUCCUGCUACCCCUUUCCAACCUCAUUUUCCAAUCCAGCCGCAUCUGCUGCAUUGACGCAUGUGGUUCUUGACUGACCUGUUUGCACUGUGCUUCCUGGCAGCUCUCCCCCGCACGCCACCCAUUUGCCCGGCUGAGCUCUGCGACGCAGCUGCCUGGUGCUAACGUCCUGAUUUCAGAAUCCAGUCUCACCACUCUGCAGGAAUCUUGGGUGGCUUUGUGCGCCCUCUCUCCACCUGCCCUGCCAUCUCCUAGCAGGGCAAUGGCCUACUGUGGCGCCUUCCAUCACCACCUCCGUACCACCUGGCUCCUUUGCGGCACCCCAGAAGCUGUACUGCCUGUUUGUUCUGGGACGUACUGCAACCACUUAGCUGCUUGACACCUUAAGCAGGCCUAGAGGUGAGGCAGAAACAAAUGGAGAGCGUAGAAGCAAACACCAAGGCGAAUUUAUGGAAUUAAGAUCCGCCCUGGAGGGCUGAGCCAUCCGUCUCACUCCGGGUAAAAGUCAGUUGGUCGCUAGUCCUGGCCUUCUCUGACCUGGUCUAUUUCUAGCUUUAUGCGGCUGCGGAAAUCACAGACGUUUGCAGGUGUUUUGAGACAGGAAGGAGAACACAGCCCGAUUUCAUUUAUUCAACCUCAUCUAUCCCUGAUCUUGUAUGUGUCAUUUAUUUUCACCACUUGCUUGUUGGCUUGGUACUAAAAGUCCAGAUAAAUUCAGCUAGGUCUGAGAGAGAAGUCCUUCUCACAAACCCUCACUCUGCACUAGCCUUGAGGCACUGACUUAAUGCAAGUACUUCAACUCCGAGAAAGUUCAAGUGCUCAGAAAUCCCUUAGAAAGCUGGUGUUACUAUACAUAAACGCCACGUUUAAUUCACUUAGUCUAUAAAGUUUAGAUAACUAUUUAACUUUUUUCACUACAGCCUAAGGGGAGAGGCAUUUUUUAAUAAGCAAGACUUCUCAGAGAAUUUCUAAUUUUCUGAGCUUAUCUACCUAAUAAAAAGCAAUACCAGACCAACACCCUAGUGAUUAGUGAUCUAAUGAAGCUGUGUUUGGAAAUCAUCUCACUCACUAUCUAUCACACUCAUGGACAUUCUUUAUUCCUGUUGAGGGAAAUCUCUCUUUGUGGUCUUUAGCGUAAUGAUGGUGUUUUUGGCAGGUGAAACUGAAUUUCUGAAUGCAAUGCUGCAUCUAAUUCAACUUUGUAUGUCCUGGCAAGAGAACAGGCUUGUCUGAGGCAUCGGAUACAUGUUUGUUGAAUGAGAAAAUAAAUAAAUGAGGUAACAAUGAGACACACAAUAUAUUGGUAUCAUCUACAACAGAGAAUACAAUUUUUUAGUUAAAAGACUAAAGAGAAGAAAAUAUACUAUUGAGUAAAGUAGACAGAUUGUUUGCCAUUUUAGUGACCAUUUUUGAGAUAGAGAAAAUACUUAAUAUGUUUGGUUUCUAAACAUGGUUAUUUUGACUGUAAUUAGAAUGGCUAUCAGAAUAUCUAAAAUAAGCUGUAAUCUGAUGUUCUUUAUGGCCUGCCUUUGUACCCCUUCAUUUAUUCUAUUCAUUUGUUGAUACACAUUUUAUCUGUACUUCCUUAGGAAUAUAAAAUUCUGAAAAGAAUUGAGAGCCAUAAUUUAAAAGUUUGUUUUCUCUUUAACAUGCUAUUCUAAAUAAUUAAUAAACUUCCCUGAAACAUCACCUAAACUGGCCUUUGGCAAAUAUGUAAGAUUAAUAAUCAGUAGAUGAUUUCUCUAUUCAGAGAAUUUAAUAGUUUUAACAAUAUUACAAUGUGGAUAUAAUGAGAACACAACACUAAUAGCAUGUUCUCUCCACCAAAUCUAUCUAUGAAAUCAUUAUGUUAUGAUUAAUCAUCUGGGAUACUAGUUUAGCUUCUCUUGUUUAGAUAGCUAAAAUAUGUAGUUAAUUCACUAUUUCUUGUUCUACACCUAAAUAUCUAUAUUUAGAUAUCACACACUAAAUGAUUUAUUAAAUAUCUUGAAUUUUGUUUCAAACAUCCAUGAAGAUAUUCAAUAUUAUUACAUGUGUUCUUAAGAAUAUGUAUCUAAAGUAUUAGUUAGAAAAUUUGACAUAAACAUGAAAAUUAUAUUGGGGAAAUCGUGGUGUGCAUUUUAGGGAUGAACAAUGGCAUUUUUCUUAUCUGAAGAGUUCAUCUAUGCUUAUUUUUCUGAGCUAUUUUUCCAUUUGUGGGGUCGUUGCUCCAUGUCAUUCCUCUCUAUUUUUUGUGCAUCAAGCCAUAUUGGAACUGACAUAUUGGAUCUGGCAUACACACAGUUCUGAAAACUGCUAUUUUUAAUCCUGACAUCAUCAGAAAGGAUUUCCUCUGGCACUCCACCCCUGUACUGUUGCAAAUUGGUUGAUUUGGGGAAACGCACCUCACAGGGUCUAUUUGAAACUGAAGGAACAUUCAAAGAAAUUCAAACUAUUUUUCCCCUCUGAACUUAAGCUUACCUCUC
Molecule: non-coding RNA, 5893 nt
Organism: Oryctolagus cuniculus (rabbit)
Lineage: Eukaryota; Metazoa; Chordata; Mammalia; Lagomorpha; Leporidae
Source: RefSeq, a predicted model, not a curated record